RNAcentral lists this ribosomal RNA (504 nucleotides) under uncultured bacterium. Its description in RNAcentral is "partial 16S ribosomal RNA". It matches the Rfam family "Bacterial small subunit ribosomal RNA", at positions 28 to 506 of the family's 1533-position model. The record is from RNAcentral.
GACGAACGCUGGCGGCGUGCCUAACACAUGCAAGUCGAACGCACCGUUUAUAUCGAAUCUCGCUCCACUACAUAAUGCGUGUUACGAACGGGUGAGUAUCGCGUUGGUUACCUGCCUGGUGGCGGGGGAUCACUUAUUGUCACGAUAGCUAAUACUGCUUACUAUUAGUUAUUGCAUGAUAGUUAAUUGUAAGGUGUAAUUGAACCACUAACAGAUGGACCUGCGUUGUAUUAGCUAGUAGGGGAGGUAACGGCUCACCUUGGCGACGAGACAUACCCGACCUGAAAGGGUGAUCGGCCACACGGUGAGAGAGAAUGGGCCCAGACUCCGACGGGAGGCAGCAGUAGAGAAUCUUAGGCAAGGGAGGAAAGGCGGACCUUGCAAAGUCGCGUGAAGGAUGAAGGAUUUCGGAUCGGAAAGCUAUGUUGUAAGAAAAGAACUGAAGUUAUAUUAGAAAGGACGCACAUGGCCGGUAUCUGAGCAGAAAGUCACGGCUAACUACGG